This 258-nucleotide long non-coding RNA is filed under the name Setaria viridis. Its description in RNAcentral is "long non-coding RNA (SVIR_LNC011230)". The record is from RNAcentral. Lineage: Eukaryota; Viridiplantae; Streptophyta; Magnoliopsida; Poales; Poaceae.
UUGGACACUAUUGAUCUCAAUACCGUCCUUGAUGAUUUUGCAUCAAGAAAUGCCCGAAGAACUAUAUUUUUAUGAGAAGCAAUGUAUAUUAUGGAGUUCUAUUCUUCCUUAAGGUAAUCUUAUUAGUUUAAGUCUUUAUUGUUCUUCGAUAAUUAUUAAACAUGUUGAAUUAAAAAUAUAUUACUAGAUUUGUUUUUCAAGAAAAAUUAGCGCUUAUAUAUAUUAUAAAAUUUAUAUAUAGUUUAGAGGGCGCUCGUG